UUUUGGGCUCCGGUAAGAAGCAAGUUAUAUACUUUGUUGGGCAUGAGACUUAACACUUUUUGUUGUAGAAUAAUCAGUAUAAAACCAAAAUAACAGAAUAAUAAAAACGAACGAAUAUAUUUUAUAUACAUAUAAUUGAAUCAAUAUAACAGCAAUAUAAAUUAUAGAAUACUGACUUGAAUUGUAGAUAGAGUCCUACAGAGUUGCAGUGUCCUUUAGACAGUAUUUCUCAUCUACCCUUGUGCUUGUAGUUCGAUAGGAGUCUGUCCACCAGGAUUAAACUAUCUUAAAUCAAAGCCUAAGCACAGUGGCUUUGAUUUCUGGUGAACAGUGGUAUGAAUUCUCUCAAGAAGUGUUAAAAAUGUGAGAAUGAUAAUGCUGUUCAAAAGGUAUUUUCUCGUUUGAACGUAUUGUCAAUAUAUAGAAGUCUGACAU
RNAcentral lists this long non-coding RNA (435 nucleotides) under Prunus persica (peach). RNAcentral's name for it is "long non-coding RNA (PPER_LNC001516)". The record is from RNAcentral. Lineage: Eukaryota; Viridiplantae; Streptophyta; Magnoliopsida; Rosales; Rosaceae.